Molecule: ribosomal RNA, 440 nt
Filed under: uncultured bacterium
Lineage: Bacteria
Description: partial 16S ribosomal RNA
Rfam family: Bacterial small subunit ribosomal RNA
Source: RNAcentral
CCUACGGGUGGCAGCAGUGGGGGAUAUUGCACAAUGGGGGAAACCCUGAUGCAGCGACGCCGCGUGUGGGAAGACGGUCCUCUGGAUUGUAAACCACUGUCUCAAGGGACGAAGUUGACGGUACCUGGGGAGGAAGCUCCGGCUAACUACGUGCCAGCAGCCGCGGUAAUACGUAGGGAGCGAGCGUUGUCCGGAAUUACUGGGUGUAAAGGGAGCGUAGGCGGGGAUGCAAGUUGGGUGUAAAUACUACCGGCUCAACUGGUAGUCGCACUCAAAACUGCAGCUCUUGAGUGAAGUAGAGGCAGGCGGAAUUCCUGGUGUAGCGGUGAAAUGCGUAGAUAUUAGGAGGAACCCCGAUUGCGAAGGCAGCAUGCCGGCUUCCUACUGACGCUGAAGCACGAAAGCGUGGGGAUCGAACAGGAUUAGAUACCCUGGUAGUC